AGAGUUUGAUCCUGGCUCAGGAUAAACGCUGGCGGCGUGCCUAAAACAUGCAAGUCGAACGGUCACCCUUCGGGGUGGUAGUGGCGAACGGCUGAGUAACACGUGGGUGACCUGCCCUCGAGCGGGGGAUAACUGCCCGAAAGGGUGGCUAAUACCGCAGAUGUCACGGGGUCGAACCGGUGACUGAACCUCCGGGGUUCGAGGAGGGGCCCGCGGCCGAUUAGCUCGCUGGUGGGGUAACGGCCUACCAGGGCAUCGAUCGGUAGCUGGUCUGAGAGGAUGAUCAGCCAGACUGGGACUGCGAACGGCCCAGACUCCUACGGGAGGCAGCAGUUAGGAAUUUUGGGCAAUGGGCGGAAGCCUGACCCAGCAACGCCGCGUGGGUGAUGAAGGCCCUCGGGUCGUAAAGCCCUUUUCCCAGGGAAGACGAUGACGGUACCUGGGGAAUCAGCCCCGGCUAACUACGUGCCAGCAGCCGCGGUAAUACGUAGGGGGCAAGCGUUGUCCGGAUUUAUUGGGCGUAAAGCGCUCGCAGGUGGUUCGUUGCGUCGUGCGUGAAAGGCCCCGGCUCAACCGGGGAGGGUCGUGCGAUACGGGCGGACUGGAGGCCAGUAGGGGGAUGCGGAAUUCCGGGUGUAGUGGUGGAAUGCGUAGAGAUCCGGAGGAACACCAGCGGCGAAGGCGGCAUCCUGGACUGGUCCUGACACUCAGGAGCGAAAGCGUGGGGAGCGAUCCGGAUUAGAUACCCCAGUAGUCC
Molecule: ribosomal RNA, 757 nt
Filed under: uncultured soil bacterium
Lineage: Bacteria
Description: bacterial SSU rRNA
Rfam family: Bacterial small subunit ribosomal RNA
Source: RNAcentral